AGUCACUGACAUUAGAUACCCGGGUAGUCCCAGCCGUAAACUAUGCGCGUUAGGUGUACUGGUGACCACGAGUCACCGGGUGCCGAAGAGAAACCGUGAAACGUGUCGCCUGGGAAGUACGGUCGCAAGGCUGAAACUUAAAGGAAUUGGCGGGGGAGCACCACAACACGUGGAGCCUGCGGUUUAAUUGGAUUCAACGCCGGACAUCUCACCAGAGGCGACAGCUGUAUGAUAGCCAGGUUGAUGACUUUGCUUGACUAGCUG
This 264-nucleotide ribosomal RNA is filed under the name uncultured archaeon. RNAcentral describes it as "partial 16S ribosomal RNA". It matches the Rfam family "Archaeal small subunit ribosomal RNA", at positions 719 to 982 of the family's 1478-position model. The record is from RNAcentral.